GAUGAAGAACGUAGCGAAAUGCGAUAAGUAAUGCGAAUUGCAGAAUUCCAGUGAGUCAUCGAAUCUUUGAACGCACAUUGCGCCCUUUGGUAUUCCGAAGGGCAUGCCUGUUCGAGCGUCAUUAUCACCCCUCAAGCCCUCGGCUUGGUGUUGGACGGUUUGGUGGAGGCCCCCUCGGGGGCUCCUGCCCCUCCCAAAGACAAUGACGGCGGCCUCGUUGGACCCCCGGUACACUGAGUUCUUCACGGGACACGUAUCGGACACAUGGGUUUACGGGACACGGUCUGCCUCCCCUCAGGGAGAAUCUUUCUAAGGUUGACAUCGGAUCAGGUAGGGAUACCCGCUGAACUUAAGCAUAUCAAUAAGCGGAGGA
This 373-nucleotide unclassified non-coding RNA is filed under the name soil metagenome. RNAcentral's name for it is "partial contains 5.8S ribosomal RNA, internal transcribed spacer 2, and large subunit ribosomal RNA". The stretch from base 1 to 121 matches the Rfam family "5.8S ribosomal RNA", at positions 35 to 154 of the family's 154-position model. The record is from RNAcentral.